GAGCGGUAGAUGGCCGCCCUAAAUCUCGUCAGCGACUUUAGUCGAGAGCGGUCCAUGAGGCGUCUCUAUGUAUGGAAUGGUUGACAUGACGUUUUUCUUCCUGUUCAGCCUUCUGCAUUUGCUGGCACUGCUAGCUGGUGUAAUAAUGCACGCUUGAAUGGCGCUCUAAACGGCGGUCGAUACACCUUGUGAUGGAGCCAGUGAUAAUCUGGGGCUGCACAUGGCUGGGUGAGGUCCAGUGGAAAAAGACCAGAACGACCACCAGUGCUCCCAAACUCCCAACCUAGUGCAACAUUCACAGUUCCAGCAGAGGGCUUUCGCACACCUGCAUGUCAGCUGUGAUCAACAGCAGUACAAGAAAUUUCUGCCACUCAUUCAUCCCUUGAGUGUUGAGCCUUGUGACAACAACACCUGUAGACAGAAAGGAAGGAAGGAAGGACUCCCACCUGUUCGGACUGAGAGCUAUUGACCCCUACUGUUGUCCCCAUUGUGUCGCAUUGACAUCGUGGAUUCCUCCUCUGAGUUUGAUGGUGAGUCCUCCCACCUGGACUUAGAGAAAAGUAACUGGAUUGCCUUCUUUUCCAUUUGGAGUUCUGCUGCACCUUGUGGUGCGGUAGGCCUGUAGCACUCACAUCUUCACACACAGUUGGUUAUAUGUAAGACCACUGACUGACAUUUUUCACUCCUACUGUUUCAUCCCGAGAAUUUAGGACAGUACCUUUUGGAUAAGUUUUAUUUGGGACAUUGUAACAAACUGCUGUGUAUGAAAUUCUCCUCGUGUGAAUGGUUUUUCAGUCGAACCUGAAUUGAACUGAAUUUGAUAAAUUUGUUUUUCUAUCACGGUUUAGAAUUCAGAUUACCACAGGGUGCACUCAAAAGAUUUAAAACUGAGAACUAGCACUUGUCCAAGUAUUAUUGCUAUUAUGUUUAAUUAUAUUUUUAGAAUUGUGAGUCUUGUACAACUUUUUGUUAAUCUUAUGGUGUAAUUCACUAAAGCCAGUUUGUUCUUUAAAUUCAUUUAAUUACCUUUGUGUCUCAUUUAAACACCCCACUGUGCUCAGAUAACUAAACCUAUUGUUCCAUUGAUUUAAUAUAUUUAAUAAUAUUCACUACUGUGUUACACAGUGUUAAUUUUAAUGUAUUAGUUGUACUACUUGAUUUAGUACUAUUAAAAUAAAUGAGGGUUAUCUACUCACUCUUUAGCUUACUGUCAAGACUCUGGAUUUUUGGGUUUGGUUUUUCUUUUGCAUCUUAUAAAUCAUUAUCCUUUAGUUAGCUUAGGUUCUGUUAUUCUUGUAUGCCUGAAUCUAAGUCUAGCUUUCUUUAGUGAUUAUAGUUAAUUAUUUUUUUUUCCUCUAGUUAUUCCUUAUUUCAGCCUCCCUGUAGUGUUUUUAGCAAUGUUUAUUUCUUAGUUAUUUCAUCACCCUAGGUUCAGUAAUUCUAACAUCUGAGUUUAGAUAUACCUUUCUUUAGUAAUCCUAGUUAUCUUAUUUCUUAAGUCCUUCUAGCUCUCCUCCUUGCAGUAUUUCUAGUUUUCUUAUUUUGUCACUUUAGGUUUAGUUAGUCUUUUUGUCUGCAUUCAUGCCCAUCUUCCUUUAAUAAUUCUAGUUAGGUUAUUUCUUUGUUUAGUCCCUCACUAUAGCUAUAUGUUCCUUAGUUCUUAUUACUGUUAGAUCAGCCUGGUUUCUGUUUAGGUUCGUUUGUUUUUCCCUCAUGUCUUUUUCUCUUCUAGUUAAUCAGGUUUUCUUUAGUCUUAGUGUUUCUUUAGUAUUAGAAGUAUUUUCAGCUCCCUGUGUUUUCUCCCUUUGUUUUCCCCCAGCAUAUCUCCUUAGCUUCUCCCCGCCCUUCAGCUACCUCCCGUGCUAACUACUCACACCAGAAAUUAGUCAUCUCAUCUAGUUAGGUUCAUUGUUCCAUUUACUACCUCCCAGUAUUUAAGCUCCUCUAUCCCAGUCAUAACUCACCAGUAUGUCUUGUUACCCUAUUCGUCUCUAUGCUCUUCACUUCCCCUGUGCUCCUUAGAAUCUCCUUGUGUCUCAUUUUGGAUUUGAAUUGGAUUGUUUUGUGUUCCCUUGGAUGUUCAUUUGUAAGUUGAACUCUGAUUUUGUUAAUUAAAAUUUCAAGACCAUACUA
This is a non-coding RNA of Poecilia reticulata (guppy), 2133 nucleotides long. NCBI's taxonomy places the organism in Eukaryota, Metazoa, Chordata, Actinopteri, Cyprinodontiformes, Poeciliidae. The record is from RefSeq and is a predicted model, not a curated record.